This 420-nucleotide ribosomal RNA is filed under the name uncultured bacterium. Its description in RNAcentral is "bacterial SSU rRNA". It matches the Rfam family "Bacterial small subunit ribosomal RNA", at positions 355 to 774 of the family's 1533-position model. The record is from RNAcentral.
UAAGGAAUAUUGCUCAAUGGGAGAAAUCCUGAAGCAGCAACGCCGCGUGGAGGAUGAAGGGUCUAUGACUUGUAAACUCCUGUAAAGAAGGAAAAAAUUCCCAUUAGAUGGGAGAUGAUGGUACUUCUGGAGUAAGCCCCGGCUAACUACGUGCCAGCAGCCGCGGUAAUACGUAGGGGGCAAGCGUUGUCCGGAUUUACUGGGUGUAAAGGGUGCUCAGGCGGAUUUGUAAGUCAGAGGUGAAAUCUUACAGCUUAACUGUGAAACUGCCUUUGAUACUGCAAGCCUAGAGUAUGGAAGAGAGAGACGGAAUUCCAGGUGUAGUGGUGAAAUACGUAGAUAUCUGGAAGAACACCAGUUGCGAAGGCGGUCUCUUGGUCCGACACUGACGCUGAGACGCGAAAGCGUGGGGAGCAAACA